GAUGAACGCUAGCGACAGGCUUAACACAUGCAAGUCGAGGGGCAGCGAGGGCGUAGCAAUACGCCUGUCGGCGACCGGCGCACUGGUGAGUAACACGUAUGCGACCUGCCCCCUACAGGGGUAUAACCCGUAGAAAUGCGGACUAAUCCCCCAUAGUCCUGGAGGUUGCAUGGCUUUCAGGGGAAAGGGUUUCCGGUAGGGGAUGGGCAUGCGGCGCAUUAGCUAGUUGGCGGGGCAACGGCCCACCAAGGCGACGAUGCGUAGGGGUUCUGAGAGGAAGGUCCCCCACACUGGUACUGAGACACGGACCAGACUCCUACGGGAGGCAGCAGUGAGGAAUAUUGGUCAAUGGGCGCAGGCCUGAACCAGCCAAGUCGCGUGAGGGAAGACGGUCCUACGGAUUGUAAACCUCUUUUG
This 417-nucleotide ribosomal RNA is filed under the name uncultured bacterium. RNAcentral describes it as "bacterial SSU rRNA". It matches the Rfam family "Bacterial small subunit ribosomal RNA", at positions 28 to 438 of the family's 1533-position model. The record is from RNAcentral.